CCCCGGGGCCUUGUACACACCGCCCGUCACACCACGAAAGUCGGCAAUACCCGAAGCCGGUGGCCUAACCCGCAAGGGAGGGGAGCCGUCGAAGGUAGAGUCGAUGAUUGGGGGUG
RNAcentral lists this ribosomal RNA (116 nucleotides) under uncultured bacterium. RNAcentral describes it as "partial 16S ribosomal RNA". It matches the Rfam family "Bacterial small subunit ribosomal RNA", at positions 1371 to 1482 of the family's 1533-position model. The record is from RNAcentral.